CUGAGUCAGAUUCCAGAAGGUGAGAAGAAGCCUAGACCAGUAGCUUUCGCAAGUAAGGCCCUUUCAAGUGCCCAGUCCAAUUACCCUGCUCAUAGGUUAGAGUUCUUUGCACUGAAGUGGGCAGUUUGUGAUAAAUUUUCCCAUUGGCUGAAGGGGACAAAAUUCACAGUGCUAACUGAUAACAAUCCCCUAACAUAUAUAAUGUCAAAGCCAAAAUUAGAUGCCUGCGAGCAAAGAUGGGUAUCUAAACUCGCCCCUUUUGAUUUUGACUUGAGAUACAUACCUGGUACCCAGAAUGUCCCUGCAGAUCUUUUGAGCCGACAACCUUUUGCCAGAGCAUUGGAGUUCUGUGAAGCCCUUGAGGCCAACGCUAAUCACUUGACCUCUGAGUCUGUCCAGGAAACUUUCCGUUUGUCAGUGAAUGUACAGCAUCGAAUCGGUAUGAACAGUGUGAAAGGUUCUGAAGCUGAAAAGUUGAGUCUGGUUAGCAAUGAAGGAGCGAAAGCUGUUUUUGAGUCCUGUGUAGAUUGGGAGACCAGCCGUCCAAUCUGUAAUAUUAAUUUAAUUCAGAGCCAAAAUUUGAUCUGUGGAGGUGCUAGCGCUCUUCCAGUUUUCUCUAUGGAAGAGAUAAGAAUGAAACAAAAAGGAGAUCCCAUUGUGUCCCGAGCUGUGUUCUUCGUUGACAGAAAAAGGAGACCAUCACGCAGGGAGAGAGAUAACGAGACUACAUCAGUAAUGCAACUGUUGAAACACUGGGAAAAACUUGAAGUAAAGGAUGGAAUUCUGUACUGUAGGUCCAAGGACCGGGUCGGUAAAAUCAGGUAUCAGCUUGUACUUCCACACUCAUUGAGAACUGCUGCUCUAAGAGGAACCCAUGAUGACACAGGUCAUCAGGGACUGAGCAGAACCCUUCAUCUUGUACAUCAGAGGUUUUUCUGGUCUGGUAUGGAUACAGAUGUCAAAAAGUAUGUCUCGCACUGCAAACGAUGUGUGGUUGGGAAGACACAGGAACCUGAGGCCAGAGCCCCACUUGAGUCCAUCAGAACAAGUGCACCCCUCGAGCUUGUAUGCAUAGAUUUCUGGUCAGCAGAAGGAACUCAUGGGGAGGAGAGUGUUGAUGUGCUUGUUAUAACCGACCAUUUCACCAAACUAGCCCAUGCAUUCCCCUGUCCUAACCAGACGGCCAAGGUAGUGGCGCAAAAACUAUGGAACAAUGUUUUCUGUGUGUAUGGCUUUCCACAGAGAAUACAUUCGGACAAAGGUGCCAACUUCGAGAGCAAAUUGAUUGCGGCGUAAUUGUAGGUGUCUGGUGUACGAAAGUCCCAUACCACGCCAUACCAUCCUAUGGGUAAUGGGCAGACUGAAAGAUUUAAUCGCACACUUGGCAAUAUGAUCCGUUCUUUGCCGCCUCGAGCGAAGGAGAGAUGGCCGCAGAACAUUCAGACACUCACAUUCUCCUAUAAUUGUACUACUCAUGAAACAACAGGGUUUGCACCAUUCUACCUGAUGUUUGGAAGAAUUCCCAGAUUACCUAUAGAUGUCAUGUUUGGAGGUGCCCUCAGAAACGAUGAUGUUCAGACUUAUGAGUAUGUCAAAUGUAUGCAGAAAGAUCUCAGAGAAGCUGUGCAUAUUGCUAAAUUCAACAGAGAAAGCAGACGCAGGAGUACAACAAAAGAUCCAAGGGUGCCCCACUGGAGGUCGGAGACCGUGUACUCCUGGUAAACAAAAAGGAAAGAGGAAAAGGGAAAUUAUCUGAUGUGUGGAGCUCAGAAGUUCAUUUAGUGAUCUGGAAAGAUCCAUCAUUGCCCAUCUACCGGGUUGAGAACCCAACCACAAAGAACAGUAAGGUUGUCCAUCGCAACUUCCUCCUUCCAGUCAAUUUUCUUCCUUUGGAAGAACCAGAAAUUUAAUCUACAGAAUUAUCUGUAGUCUCGGAAGAGGAAUGAUGUCAGACAGAGGACCAAAGUAGGAGAUCUCUGUUCAAUACAGAAAGUGAAACACAGAAUAGUAGAAUUGCUGCUUGGAUCUUACAAGGUGUCAACCCGGAAGCAGUUCAUUGUGCUGGAGGGAUUACUGUGGAGGAAAAGGGCAAAGAAAAUGUCACAGAGUCUAAGAAUUCAGUCUCUGCAAGUAAAACAAAAGAAAUGGUUCUCUCUACCAGACAUAUAAUUGAACACAUCGGAAGUUCUGGUGACAUACAUGAUUCAGAUGAUAUGAACUCUUACACUGAGCAUUCCAUUGAUGGUGAGAACAGUACAUCUGAGUUAGAGCAAGAUCGAGCAAGCAACAGAAAUGAGGAAAUGAUCCAAGAGUCUGUGAACAGCCAGAGUGUUCAAGCAGAAUCAGUCACCUUGUCAAGUGAUGCUGGUCAAGUGAGCAGCUCAAUUAGAGACUCAAGGCAUCAAGCCUCAAGUAGUGGUAGAUGUAGAUACAAAAAGUCACAUAGAAAGACAACUAUAGCAGACACUGCCUUAAAACCAAACGAAGGGACUGUGAGAACCAGGGCAGGAAGGCUAGUGAAACCAGUAAGGAGACUGCUUGAGUGUAUGAGCAUGGUAAUGAUUGAACGAGGGCAAAAAGAUCCUCUGUUUGAAUUACUCAGAAUUCUGUAGAAUUUCAUAGGAAGUUAAAAAGAUCUUUUGAAGUAUAAUUUCAAGCUAAUAUUCAGUGUUAAUCAGAAUUAAGAAAUUAGAGGCCUUUAAUAGGAUUUGAGAAGUACUUUAUUUGGGGGUGUAUGCUUAUAUGUAUAAGGGCAUAUUUCUACCAAGCAAAUUAUACUUGCUAUUCAUUUGAAUGACUGGAGUCAGGUUCCCUUAUAAAGGAAAAUAACUCACCUAAGGCCUUAAAGUUUGAUGAAAUUUAGGAGGGGAGAGUGUAGUGUACUGAGUUUUGUGACUACAAACUUUGUUGAUUUAAGUGAAAAUGUUUUUUUUGGGGUAUUUCUGUUGAUCUGUUUAAAUUAUCUUUAAAAGAGAUUGGGAAGAACAUGCAUAUGCAGUUGUUUAAAAAUAAUAUUUUUGUAUUUAAAAGAAAAGUGACGUCAUUCCACUUACGUGUUGGUUCACCAAUCGGAUCUCACUCAAGUUCAGAACAGCUUUGGACUUGAGUGAGGCAGGUAAGUUGUAACUGAGCUCUGUGAUUAAAUAUUCAAAUAUAAGAGAUUGGGUUAGUUUUCUUGUUAAUACUUGUACAUGAAGUGUUGUAAGAGUGGAUUAAGACACUGAAAGUAUUUUAUUGUCAUUAGCGUUAGAUAUAUUCGAAUUUUGCGUUAAUGAGCUCUUAAUGAGAUGGUUAUAUUCCCGCCCGCGCGCCAUUUUAUAUGCGGGUUUCUUUGUUAAUGGGUUUCAAAAGAUAACAUAAAAUUGUGGAUAACGUUCAUAAAAUAUCAUGCAGUUGAAUUUUGUAUGGGUAUUUGUUGUUUUGUGCCAAAUGCAUGUAUUUGUAACCGUAUGUAUAUUUGAGAUGUCAAGUUAAUGCAGUUAAAAGUGUUAAAGGGUAACUAAACCCUAAACCAACUUUUUUUAGUUAAUGAUCUGUAAAGGUGCGUACACACUGCCAGCGACAUCGCGCGCGACAGCGACUCAAUACCAUUCAUUUUCAAUGCGAGCACAGCGACUUCCGGCGACACGAGCUGUCGCGACCGUUGGCGCUAGAUUUGGGCGUGUCCAGUGACGCGACAAAGUUGAGAAAAGUUCAACUUUGGAGCGACUAACGGAAGCGACAGCCAAUAGGAGAGACGACAGGAGAGCUCACGUGAUCCUUCUGUCUCUCUCUCAGUUCCUGCAGUAACGGAAAGAUGGAUGAAAGGCUAAUUCUUGUUGUUAGAAAUUUUCCAGUGCUCUAUGAUAUGUCUCUUCCCACGUACAAGGACAUUUUUAAGAAAAAUACUGCGUGGAAAGGUGUAUCUGAGAUAGCGGGCAUUUUAUGGACCGGCAUUUGCAUUUUCGCCGCAGAUAAACAGCCGCUAUGGCAAACAGCACGCCUGGUUUCUUAUUCAUCUUUGAUAUAAACAUUUUAUGUACUGAUUCCAUUUAUAUUUAGUCUUUUCCCUCCAAAAUCUUUGUUUUUAGUGGCAAGAAAAGAGAUUCGCUGUCAACAGCAAUGGAAUGGCAUCCGUGAAUGUCAUUUAUAAACGUUACUAGGCAACCAGUAGUGGGAACACCCACUAGCUACUUCACCGCCAGCCACUGGCGACUUGCAGCGACAAAGUCGCUGGCAGUGUGUACGCACCUUAAGCAUGGGGCUUUAUUAGUACUGGUCAUUGAUUCAAGUAAUUUUUUUUGACAUUUGUGUAUAAAGUGUUUUAAUUCUACAAUAUAUGGUGUAAAAACGUCUGAGUGCUGCCCUCUUCAGGUUGAACGGUGGCUACUGCAGUUGAAUUUUCCUAUUGGCUGUUGCGGUACUUCGUGACGUAAGCGGUGACAGCUGACGUAAGCAGGUUCCAGCUCACCACGCCAGAUUCAUGUACAUGUCGUCUUGCGACCGUGUGAGGAAUAAUAAUAACAUAGAGUGUGACAGCAGCUGUCAAUUAAUCCGUCACUACGAGUCUCAGGUGCCCUCCCCCCCCCCCACCCACCCCCGUUCAGCCCCGCACUCGGUUCGUUCCCUCUAUCCCCGCCGGGGUCUGCCCACUUUUCCAACAUUUUCAAAUAUUUCUAGUGGGUGGAGUCAGACUCUGAGCAGGUGUUUAGUUACCCUUUAAUGUAGGCAGGAGUUAAUUUUUCUCUUCUCACACUCCUCACAGAGAGAUUGCAGAACUGAGGGUGUGUGUGUGUAAUUCCUGUCCUCUGUUAAAUAAACUGCAGCUGAGAUCCAGCACUGUCUUUUGAGUGCGGGAGAUGUGGGCUGUGGUGUGUUCGAGUGUUUCGAGAACAACUCUUGUGAAAUCCGGGGCUUGCAGGAGAUUUGCAUGACCUUCCUGC
Molecule: RNA transcript, 4922 nt
Organism: Xyrauchen texanus (razorback sucker)
Lineage: Eukaryota; Metazoa; Chordata; Actinopteri; Cypriniformes; Catostomidae
Gene name: stanniocalcin-2-like
Exons: 2
Source: RefSeq, a predicted model, not a curated record